UACGGAGGGUGCAAGCGUUAAUCGGAUUUAUUGGGCGUAAAGGGGGCGUAGGCGGGAAAGAAAGUCAAACGUGAAAUUUCGGGGCUCAACCUCGAAGCUGCAUUUGAAACUUCUUUUCUUGAGGAUAGGCGGAGAAAACGGAAUUCCACAAGUAGCGGUGAAAUGCGUAGAUAUGUGGAAGAACACCUGUGGCGAAAGCGGUUUUCUAGCUUAUUCCUGACGCUGAGGCCCGAAAGCUAGGGGAGCAAACAGG
Molecule: ribosomal RNA, 253 nt
Filed under: uncultured bacterium
Lineage: Bacteria
Description: partial 16S ribosomal RNA
Rfam family: Bacterial small subunit ribosomal RNA
Source: RNAcentral